GAACCAAUACGGUUGAGUAUUACCCUCCUCGCGAGAACGGCGCCGUUCCGUUUCAGUUUCUUGCUGACGUGGAGGAUAAACAGAUGGAUAAUCUCUACCCUUACGUUCAUCUCCUCCCCGACGACGGCGGAAACCUCUUCAUCUUCGCCAACAGCCGCGCCGUCAAAUACGAUCACCGCCUAAACACCGUGGUGAAAGAGUAUCCGCCUCUAGACGGCGGCCCGAGGAAUUAUCCGUCGGGUGGAUCAUCAGCGAUGCUAGCGAUCCAAGGAGAUUUCGCCACGGCGGAGAUCCUAAUAUGCGGCGGAGCUCAAUCCGGCGCUUUCACAGCGCGUGCCGUUGACGCACCGGCGCACGGAACCUGCGGUCGAAUCGUCGCUACCGCGCCGGAUCCGGCUUGGGUGACGGAGGAGAUGCCGUUCGGGAGGAUCAUGGGAGAUAUGGUGAAUCUUCCGACGGGAGAGAUUCUGAUCAUAAACGGAGCUCAAGCCGGAAGCCAAGGAUUCGAAAUGGGAUCGGAUCCGUGUCUUUACCCGCUUCUAUACCGACCCGAUCAACCAAUUGGAUUGCGAUUCAUGACACUGAAUCCAGGAACCGUACCGAGAAUGUACCAUUCGACGGCGAAUCUGUUACCGGACGGUCGAAUCCUCCUCGCCGGAAGUAACCCUCACUACUUCUACAAAUUCAACGCCGAGUUUCCCACCGAGUUACGUAUCGAAGCGUUUUCUCCGGAGUAUCUUUCACAGGAUCGAGCCAAUCUCCGACCCGAGCUCCGAGAAAUUCCGCAGAUCGUAAGAUACGGCGAGGUCUUCGAUGUGUUCGUGACGGUGCCGUUGCCGGUUGUGGAGACGAUUCAGAUCUAUUGGGGAAGCGCGCCUUUUGCGACUCACUCGUUUUCUCAGGGUCAACGGCUCGUGAUGUUGACCGUUGGGCCAUCAAUACCUGACGGAGAAGGACGUUAUAGGAUUCAGUGCACGGCUCCACUAACCGGACGCUGGUACGCUAGUGACCAGAUAUUACCGGAUGGUUCGGUUAUCAUCGUCGGUGGGAGAGGAACCAAUACGGUUGAGUAUUACCCUCCUCGCGAGAACGGCGCCGUUCCGUUUCAGUUUCUUGCUGACGUGGAGGAUAAACAGAUGGAUAAUCUCUACCCUUACGUUCAUCUCCUCCCCGACGACGGCGGAAACCUCUUCAUCUUCGCCAACAGCCGCGCCGUCAAAUACGAUCACCGCCUAAACACCGUGGUGAAAGAGUAUCCGCCUCUAGACGGCGGCCCGAGGAAUUAUCCGUCGGGUGGAUCAUCAGCGAUGCUAGCGAUCCAAGGAGAUUUCGCCACGGCGGAGAUCCUAAUAUGCGGCGGAGCUCAAUCCGGCGCUUUCACAGCGCGUGCCGUUGACGCACCGGCGCACGGAACCUGCGGUCGAAUCGUCGCUACCGCGCCGGAUCCGGCUUGGGUGACGGAGGAGAUGCCGUUCGGGAGGAUCAUGGGAGAUAUGGUGAAUCUACCGACGGGAGAGAUUCUGAUCAUAAACGGAGCUCAAGCCGGAAGCCAAGGAUUCGAAAUGGGAUCGGAUCCGUGUCUUUACCCGCUUCUAUACCGACCCGAUCAACCAAUUGGAUUGCGAUUCAUGACACUGAAUCCAGGAACCGUACCGAGAAUGUACCAUUCGACGGCGAAUCUGUUACCGGACGGUCGAAUCCUCCUCGCCGGAAGUAACCCUCACUACUUCUACAAAUUCAACGCCGAGUUUCCCACCGAGUUACGUAUCGAAGCGUUUUCUCCGGAGUAUCUUUCACAGGAUCGAGCCAAUCUCCGACCCGAGCUCCGAGAAAUUCCGCAGAUCGUAAGAUACGGCGAGGUCUUCGAUGUGUUCGUGACGGUGCCGUUGCCGGUUGUGGAGACGAUUCAGAUCUAUUGGGGAAGCGCGCCUUUUGCGACUCACUCGUUUUCUCAGGGUCAACGGCUCGUGAUGUUGACCGUUGGGCCAUCAAUACCUGACGGAGAAGGACGUUAUAGGAUUCAGUGCACGGCUCCACUCAACGGCGCCGUCUCUCCGCCAGGUUAUUACAUGGCCUUCGCCGUUAACCAAGGCGUUCCUAGCGUCGCUCGGUGGAUGCGUAUAGUUCUUUGAUUAAAAACGAGGAAAUAUUUCGAUUUUUAAUCAUGAAUAAUUUGUUAAAUAUGUUAAUAAAAAAACACAUGGCUUAAUAUGAAUAUUUUUAAUGAAACCCUUACUUGGCCAAUUCUAACCAUACAAUGUUUAUUUGGUCUGGUGAUUUAGAUGUUUUGGUUUUAUAAAUUUACUAGUUGUAUCCCGGUACACGCCGGGUUUAUAUGUUUUGUUUUCUGAUGACUUAAUAAUUGAUUUUUUGAUCCAUUUGAUAGUGGUGGAUGAUAUUAGUGUAUUACUUUUUUUGUAGUUGGUUAGGUCAAAGAAAAAUAGCAUAAGUGAGUUUUAUAGAUUAAUGAAACAACAACCAUAAAUAGCUGAUAGUUUCACCAAAUUAAAUAUAAAUUAACUAAAAACAUAAAAUAAAAUUGAUGUUCCAAAAUAAAGCACCUAAAUGCAUGUGUUUGUUUGUGAUCAUCCUCUUACAGCACCAAAUUAGGGGUUCCACUAUGGAUGUAUAUAUUCGUUAAAUACUUUGUCCCGGACUCUAUUUUGAAUCCAUUAAGUGAAUUUUUAAUCAUGGUCCAUCAUUGCUAAGAUCUAAAUUGAUAACUUAUCCAGAUAUUCUUUUCCUUUUUGAAAUAAAGAAUAAAGAUGUUAGCAAAGCAACUCGUGUAUUUGUGGUAGGUGAUCUACAUUCUUCUUCGCGAAGAAGUUGGUGAAGCUGCGUGAGAAAAACUUCACAAUUAAAUACACGAUUAGGUGCGAUAAAUCCUUGCAUAACAAAAGGCAUGUGGAUGUUUUAAUUAAUAAUAAUUUACAUUUAUAAUAUAAUGUACAAAAUGAUGAAUAUUACUUACUUUCUACAAAUUGUUUUCAAAUUCAACUCAGCAGUACAAAAAUUAUGAUAUUUAUUUGACAUAUUUUACUCAGAGUGUUUUCUUACUGAAUGUUAUUAUUGAUAGUGCUAAAUCUUUAUUAAUAUGGCUUAAGAAACUUUCCAAUGAAACCUUUUUAUAUAUGAGAGAUUACUUCAUAUUAAUGUUUUUUUUUACAUUUAUGAUUUAGAACUUUCAUUGUUUUAAGAUAUUUUUUAUUAGUUAAACUUUCUCUUUUAAGAGAAUUUACUUUUUAUUCUAAAAACUCUCUUUUUGAAAAAUAUAGAGAAAACUAAAUAAAUGAGACCCUUUUAUAUGUUUUUAACACCUUUUAACAAUUUUGAACUCAUUUAUGAUAUUUAUUUGACAUAUUUUAUUGAGAGUGUUUUCUUACUGAAUGUUAUUAUUGGUAGUGCUAAAUCUUUAUUAAUAUGGCUUAAGAAACUUUCCAAUGAAACCUUUUUAUAUAUGAGAGAUUAUUUCAUAUUAAUGUUUUUUUUUACAUUUAUGAUUUAGAACUUUCAUUGUUUUAAGAUAUUUUUAUUAGUUAAACUUUCUCUUUUAAGAGAAUUUACUUUUUAUUCUAAAAACUCUCUUUUUGAAAAAUACAGAGAAAACUAAAUAAAUGAGACCCUUUUAUAUGUUUUUAACACCUUUUAACAAUUUUGAACUCAUUUAUGAUAUUUAUUUGACAUAUUUUAUUGAGAGUGUUUUCUUACUGAAUGUUAUUAUUGGUAGUGCUAAAUCUUUAUUAAUAUGGCUUACUCAAAUCAAAACCUUAUGCUACUCACUGAAAAUAGGACAAGGAGUUUGGUCGUUUCUCAGGACAGAGAUCCAGUGUUUGAUCAAAGGAUGAGGUGGCACGAACACCUGAAAUUAAAAAGAAAAAAAAAACAAAACUAAGAAUCAAUUCACUAUUGAUUAGUUCCGAUCUCAAAAUUUACCAGCAUCCUAUUGCUUCCGUUAAUGGAGCCUUCGGACGCCGCCAUUUUAGCUCUAACCGGAAUAUUCCGCCGUGAAAGAGAAGCACCCAAAGUCUGUAUGUAUGAAGAAUUCGAGAUGAGGAUCCAACUCGAGGAGGGAGUGAGGUUAUAUUAAAUAGUGGUGGGUUACCUGACCGAGGAAGGGGGAGGAAUUAAAGGAGAGGAGAGAGGAAGGGGUAGGGGUAGGGUUUACGCGGCCGCAUUGAUCUUGUCGGGGACCUAAACGCAGCGUUUCCGAGUAACAUCGGAAAGCGUUACUAAUUGAGUACGCCAUUUCCCGACGAUAUCCGAACUCUGGUCUAACUGAGAACGACGAUCCAGCGAUUCAAAUACAUAAUAAACCGGCCCUCACUAAACUGUACCGGAUUAUUUUGGGGACUUCAACUUACGAUUGGGCUACAUUUUUCGUUUUUUGGACAAUCCCAUUGGGCUUUGUUUAUUACACGCUUUAUACUAUGCGGAGGAUAUGGGACUAUGGAGCGGAGCUUAAGCAAGUGCUCAAUAUAUCAGCUUACUGUAAAAAAAAAAAAAAGACUACUACCAAAGAUUUAUCUGUUUCUUCUUCUCCAAAUCCUACAAAGCAGCUUACAUUAAAGCAUUUACGACUCUAUUAGUCUUACUGGGUAUCAUGGAUAAUAGCCUCAACAUACAACUGUAUUGAUAGAGAAAGAGAUUAACAAUCGCUGGUUUAGCACAUUUUGAUAUAUUUUAAGAGGAAAAACAAUUUAGAAAUGGGUGAUACUUUUUGAAACCACUAGCUGCAGACAGCACAACCCAAAAGCUUAUCAACUUAACGAAUUAAUUAAUUAGUUUAUAAACUAAUCAUGUAUAAGAAGUAUCAUUUCUAAUUCUUGCCCAUGUCCAAGAAGCAUCAAGAUGACGAAAGAUAGGAUCAUAUGAUCAUUAGAAAGGACAAGCAUGGAGAAAAAGAUGAGAAAAAGAGCACGUUAACCAAUAGGACUAAAUCAUUUUAUGAAGUGGCUGUGAAUUGGUAUUGGCUUGUAAAGGACAACGUCAUAAGUUAUACAAAUUAUAAAUUUCUACCAAAAAAAUGUUGAUAAUUUAUCUACCAAAAAGGUAGAAAAUAGAAUAUUUAGUUGAUUGUUUUUUUAAUCAUGAUGAUGCCUUUUGAGCAGUAAAGGAGAAGCUUGCUAGUUAAUCACUUGAUAUGUACGUUUACUAUAUUACAAAUUGUAAUCAUACACUCGUUUGAUCCUAUUUGAAAUGUUAUUUCGAUCGUCCAAAAAACUAAAAAACGUUAGUUUAUAUUGAUUAAUUGCUAUAUAAACUUGGUUUUUGAAGUUAAUCAAUUGUAUUCUACUAUUCUGAACGUAAAACGAAUUUCAACGAUAUAAACUUUAGGGAAAAAAAAAACAAGAUUCUAUUAUCUUUAGCUAUAUAGAAUGUGUCAAUGCCCCCACACAGUUUUUAGUUAUCGGAUCGUAGAAUCAUAAAUCAUCACUCAAUAUCAACGGCUGUGAUCAAUUACAACGUACAGCUUUUCCCCACUCAAUCUUCUUUAAGACAUGUCAGUGAAGCAAAACACUUCCAAGCUUAGCCGACAAAAAUGGCAGAACUAGUUCGUUAUUACACUCCAGGGAUCGUAGUUAUACUUAUUCUAUCAGUUCUUCUCUUCUCGAUCACACGUGCUGAUUUACCAGGCACGUGGGAGCUCAUCGUACAAGACGCCGGUAUAGCCUCUAUGCACACGGCGGUUACCCGGUUCAACACGGUGGUUCUUCUCGAUCGGACAAAUAUUGGUCCAUCCAAAAAAGCUCUUGGUCGGCACCGGUGCCGGAAAGACCCAAACGACGUCGUUCUGAAACGUGAUUGCUACGCUCAUUCGGUUCUAUUUGACCUUGGUACAAACCAGAUCCGACCACUGAUGAUCCAAACCGACACGUGGUGCUCUUCGGGUCAGUUUUUAUCUGACGGUUCUUUGCUUCAAACGGGUGGGGAUAGAGACGGGUUUAAAAAGAUCAGGAGAUUCGAACCGUGUGACCCAAACGAGACCUGCGAUUGGGUGGAGCUCCAAGACACCGAGUUAACAACCGGACGCUGGUACGCUAGUGACCAGAUAUUACCGGAUGGUUCGGUUAUCAUCGUCGGUGGGAGAGGAACCAAUACGGUUGAGUAUUACCCUCCUCGCGAGAACGGCGCCGUUCCGUUUCAGUUUCUUGCUGACGUGGAGGAUAAACAGAUGGAUAAUCUCUACCCUUACGUUCAUCUCCUCCCCGACGACGGCGGAAACCUCUUCAUCUUCGCCAACAGCCGCGCCGUCAAAUACGAUCACCGCCUAAACACCGUGGUGAAAGAGUAUCCGCCUCUAGACGGCGGCCCGAGGAAUUAUCCGUCGGGUGGAUCAUCAGCGAUGCUAGCGAUCCAAGGAGAUUUCGCCACGGCGGAGAUCCUAAUAUGCGGCGGAGCUCAAUCCGGCGCUUUCACAGCGCGUGCCGUUGACGCACCGGCGCACGGAACCUGCGGUCGAAUCGUCGCUACCGCGCCGGAUCCGGCUUGGGUGACGGAGGAGAUGCCGUUCGGGAGGAUCAUGGGAGAUAUGGUGAAUCUUCCGACGGGAGAGAUUCUGAUCAUAAACGGAGCUCAAGCCGGAAGCCAAGGAUUCGAAAUGGGAUCGGAUCCGUGUCUUUACCC
This 6624-nucleotide long non-coding RNA is filed under the name Brassica napus (rape). RNAcentral describes it as "long non-coding RNA (BNAP_LNC006089)". Lineage: Eukaryota; Viridiplantae; Streptophyta; Magnoliopsida; Brassicales; Brassicaceae. The record is from RNAcentral.